This 465-nucleotide ribosomal RNA is filed under the name Vreelandella stevensii. Its description in RNAcentral is "partial 16S ribosomal RNA". It matches the Rfam family "Bacterial small subunit ribosomal RNA", at positions 338 to 795 of the family's 1533-position model. The record is from RNAcentral. Lineage: Bacteria; Pseudomonadati; Pseudomonadota; Gammaproteobacteria; Oceanospirillales; Halomonadaceae.
CCUACGGGGGGCAGCAGUGGGGAAUAUUGGACAAUGGGGGCAACCCUGAUCCAGCCAUGCCGCGUGUGUGAAGAAGGCCCUCGGGUUGUAAAGCACUUUCAGUGAGGAAGAACGCCUGGUGGUUAAUACCCAUCAGGAAAGACAUCACUCACAGAAGAAGCACCGGCUAACUCCGUGCCAGCAGCCGCGGUAAUACGGAGGGUGCGAGCGUUAAUCAGAAUUACUGGGCGUAAAGCGCGCGUAGGUGGCUUGAUAAGCCGGUUGUGAAAGCCCCGGGCUCAACCUGGGAACGGCAUCCGGAACUGUCAAGCUAGAGUGCAGGAGAGGAAGGUAGAAUUCCCGGUGUAGCGGUGAAAUGCGUAGAGAUCGGGAGGAAUACCAGUGGCGAAGGCGGCCUUCUGGACUGACACUGACACUGAGGUGCGAAAGCGUGGGUAGCAAACAGGAUUAGAUACCCCAGUAGUC